AAAUUUUUUACACCUAAAAUGGUACACUGACUGAAAUUUUUUUUUUGGGGGGGGAGGUUGUCCGGAAAAAUUUUUUCCGGGAAAAUUUUUUUAGAUAGGGGCCCCUAAAAAAAAAUUUGCCCCGGGCCCCCGCCAACCUCUGGGCGGCCCUGCUUCUGACACCAGAUAUGGAGGGUUUAAUCACGGGUUUAAUUCACUCGUAACAGUUUCCGGAUUAGGAAAUGAUAGCUGACAUGACCUUUAACAGUAUUAAAGAACAUCAUAUUACAACAAUACUUUGAGGGAAACCCCGCAAAUAAUAUUCAACGUGGAAUAAUUUUGUCGACUUAUAUUUCGCCGCAAUGCCUUAUAUAAUACAACAAAUAGACCGAAACAUUUUUGUAGACUUUUUUCAGACACCAAAAUAGUCCACUACUUAAAAAUGCAGAAAAAUGACAGUGUUUACGGCAAUUACCGGUAGUAUCACUUGUAUAAAUAUAAUAGUCGCAAUGUUCUGAAAAUCUUAGAAUAUUUUGACUACUGUAAAAUGAUCGG
Non-coding RNA from Paramuricea clavata, 534 nucleotides. Lineage: Eukaryota; Metazoa; Cnidaria; Anthozoa; Malacalcyonacea; Plexauridae. The record is from the annotation of a GenBank genome assembly.